Zea mays is the source of this 2252-nucleotide RNA transcript. RefSeq lists it as uncharacterized. The record is from RefSeq and is a predicted model, not a curated record. The transcript has 6 exons. Lineage: Eukaryota; Viridiplantae; Streptophyta; Magnoliopsida; Poales; Poaceae.
UUUUUCCUCGUCUUUUCGGCCCGGGAACCGCGCCUCGUCGACCGGGGGUGGAAAAUAUCCCGUCUGAACCACACGCGAACACGAAGGGCACGCGACGGCUGUGGAUACAACAUUCUUCUCUCCGGCGUCGAUCUGCUCUGGCGGCCGCUUCUCACCGUUAUGCAGGCAAACCGACAAAGACAUUCUACAGUUCUCUUCAACUGAAGCCUUGCUGAAAUUUGAAAGUUCAAGUGCAAAGUGAAUUUUAAUAAUGAGAAGUUGUGCAUCUGACACAGGAUGGUGUUAAAAAAAUAUUAUCCCUGCACCAGUUCGAGUUGGAGAAGACGAACUUCCACCGUCUUGGGACCCUAUAUCCUCUCCUUUAGUUAGCAAUGGAUGUGGCACUAAGAGAUCACCUUAGACAGAGGAGAGAUGAUGAUGAUGAUGACAUGAUGUUGUUUUUUCUCCCUAUGCUACAUAUAUUGGGUUCUAGUUCAAACAUAGUAACGGAAAAGAAGCGAAGGCAUACAUCAAAGUUAAGUGGCGAAGAACAUGUUCAGGAGUUGCUCCAAGGUCAUUUGAAGAACUGUCGGGUAGCGUUCAGGAUGGAGCCUGAAAUUUUCAAAUCCUUGGCAAGUUAUCUUAGAAGGGAGGGGUUGGUCCGUGAUACAAGGAUUAAGGUCGAGGAAAAGUUAGCAUUCUUCUUAUACAUGCUCAGCCAUAAUGCCUCAUUUGAAGAUCUAAUAGAAGAAUUUGGGCACAGUGGUGAUACAUAUCAUCGUCACAUCAAGCAUUUCUUUGACCUAGUUGUUCCUACACUCUCCAAGCAAUUCCUGAAGCCACCAAAUCCUAAUCAUGUCCAUCAAAAAAUUGAAAGGAAUCCUAGGUUUUAUCCCUACUUCAAGAAUUGCAUUGGUGCAAUCGAUGGCACUCAUGUGCCUAUAUCGAUAUCACCUGACAAAGCCGCUCCAUUUAGGAAUAGGAAGGGCACUCUUACUCAAAAUGUAAUGGUAGCGUGUGAUUUUGAUCUCAAUGUAACUUUCAUAUCCACUAGGUGGGAGGGGUCCGCGACGGAUGCUAGAGUUCUUAGGGCUGCAAUGAACAAUGGCUUUCAAGUACCUCUGGGGAAAUUUUAUUUAGUAGAUGGCGGUUAUGCCAACACACCAUCUUUCCUUGCCCCAUAUCGCGGAGUUAGGUAUCAUUUGAAGGAAUAUGGGGCAGGUCGUCGAAGACCACAAAACUACAAGGAGAUCUUUAAUCAUCGCCAUGCAGUGUUGAGGAAUCAUAUUGAAAGGGCCUUGGGAGUUAUAAAGAAACGCUUCCCCAUACUUAAGGUUGCCACGUUUCACAAAAUAGAAAACCAAGUGAAGAUACCGGUAGCAGCUGCCGUGUUGCACAACAUUAUUCGGUCUCUCAAAGGAGAUGAACAAUGGUUAGAAGAUCAGGCAGAAAAUGUUCAAGGCAAUGUUGUUGAUAUUCCAGAUGGAGAUCAAAGCAAUGAUCAAGGCAGUGAACAAGGCAACAAUCUCAGAGACACAAUUGCACAACAAAUGUGGAUUGAUUAUCAACAAUGCAAUUAGUGAUGCAUUAUAAUAUGUUUUAUUGUUAUUGGGAUUGCAAUAAGUUCUUAGGAAAUGUAGUUUGUACUAGUUAUGAUGUUUUAAUGUUAUUCGAAUAUGCUUUCAGUUAUGCUUUAAAAAUUAUUGUUGUUCACAAUUAUGCUUUCAUGUUCUAAUUAUGCUCAUGUUAUAAGUUACCAUGCUUGGAAGGGGGUCUCCAAGAUUAAACAUGCUUGCAAGGGGGUCUCCUAGAUUUAACAUGCUCUUAUCUAAAGGUGCACAAAAGAAAAAAUCUCCUAUAGCUACUGCUUCAAAGACACAUGGAGGCUCUCCAAAAGAUCUGCUAUCUUUCACUUAUGUCCAAUCUUUCACUUGUGCCGGUGAAUGGUGAUGAUGCAUUGCUGCUUAUUGCUGACGGCCGCCUGCUACUGCUUGCUACUUGUACCACGACAACAACGAUUGCUGCUUGUUGUUGGCCAUGUGUGCGAGGCCUGGUCAUGCAUAAACAAUGGUGCAUGUCAUGAACUCUUUAACUGUAGGGCAUUUCAGUGCAUUGGAUGGAUUACUUGUCCUGUAAUGAAACCUAUAAUAAUGGUGCUUCUAUGCGACUGCUGCAAGACAUCACUUGUCUGCUAUUUCUUGUGUAAACUGAGGAUAAUUAUAUGCUGUUGAUAAAACUAUAUGCAUGAAUAGAAGCCUGACGAUUCCUGGCCU